CGGCAACAGCUCAAAUUUGAAAUCUGGCCUCUUUCGGGGUCCGAGUUGUAAUUUGUAGAGGAUGCUUUUGGCGCGGUGCCUUCCGAGUUCCCUGGAACGGGACGCCAUAGAGGGUGAGAGCCCCGUCUGGUCGGACACCAAGCCUCUGUAAAGCUCCUUCGAC
This 163-nucleotide ribosomal RNA is filed under the name Thelonectria veuillotiana. RNAcentral describes it as "partial large subunit ribosomal RNA". It matches the Rfam family "Eukaryotic large subunit ribosomal RNA", at positions 99 to 261 of the family's 3401-position model. Lineage: Eukaryota; Fungi; Ascomycota; Sordariomycetes; Hypocreales; Nectriaceae. The record is from RNAcentral.